Molecule: ribosomal RNA, 375 nt
Filed under: Acanthamoeba sp.
Lineage: Eukaryota; Discosea; Longamoebia; Acanthamoebidae
Description: SSU rRNA
Rfam family: Eukaryotic small subunit ribosomal RNA
Source: RNAcentral
GCAGGCAGAUCUUUUUCUCUGGCACCGAAUACAUUAGCAUGGAAUAAUGGAAUAGGACCCUGUCCUCCAAUUUUACGUGUUGUUUUUCAAGGACAGGGUUAAUGAUGAUAAUGAUUAGUUGGGAUCGUUGGUAUUUUAUUGAUUUAAGUGACAUACGUGGAUUUAUUGGAGAUUAGAUUCAGCAACUUCAUCUGCCAAGGUUGUUUUGAUUAUUUAAAAUAGACAGUAAGGGGAUCGAAGAGAAUCAGAUCCCGUCGAAGCCUUAACCUUAAACGAUGCCAACCAGCCCUACGGAGACUUUGAAUACAAAACACCACCAUCACGGGGACAUUCCCGGCCGGCGUUGAAUGGUUGAAUUAUCACGCCGCCAACAGU